Molecule: ribosomal RNA, 253 nt
Filed under: uncultured bacterium
Lineage: Bacteria
Description: partial 16S ribosomal RNA
Rfam family: Bacterial small subunit ribosomal RNA
Source: RNAcentral
UACGAAGGGGGCUAGCGUUGCUCGGAAUCACUGGGCGUAAAGCGCACGUAGGCGGCUUUCUAAGUCAGGGGUGAAAUCCUGGAGCUCAACUCCAGAACUGCCUUUGAUACUGGAGAGCUUGAGUCCGGGAGAGGUGAGUGGAACUCCGAGUGUAGAGGUGAAAUUCGUGGAUAUUCGGAAGAACACCAGUGGCGAAGGCGGCUCACUGGCCCGGUACUGACGCUGAUGUGCGAAAGCGUGGGGAGCAAACAGG